Non-coding RNA from Phrynosoma platyrhinos (Desert horned lizard), 72 nucleotides. Lineage: Eukaryota; Metazoa; Chordata; Lepidosauria; Squamata; Phrynosomatidae. The record is from the annotation of a GenBank genome assembly.
UGUAGAGCAGUGCAAUGGUUUGAGCACUGGACUAUGACUCUGGAGACCAGGGUUCAAGUCCCUGCUUGGCCA